This is a long non-coding RNA of Etheostoma cragini (Arkansas darter), 723 nucleotides long. RefSeq lists it as uncharacterized. The transcript is spliced from 2 exons. The record is from RefSeq and is a predicted model, not a curated record. NCBI's taxonomy places the organism in Eukaryota, Metazoa, Chordata, Actinopteri, Perciformes, Percidae.
UGUUUGCAAAAGACAAAUUGUAUACAUGUGUAUAGUGUAAACGGUCUGGGAUGUAACAUUUUAUACACGUGUUCCUGUGUGUGUGUGUGUAAGUUAGUAAGGAAGCACAAUAGAGAGAGCUAAUGCUGUGUGAGUGUGUGAAAUAAAAUGAAACACAGGAAUACUACAUGGGAGCGUGUGUGUGUGUGUGUGUGUGUGUGUGUGUGUGAAAGAGAGGAGACAGAAUAGCCUUUGUGCUCUGAAGAUUUGGGAAAUGUUGCGACAGGAACAAUCACAACCUCUGUUCUCUCUCUUUCUCUGUUUGCAUGUGUCCCACUCUUUCUUCAUUUUGUUACAUAAUACAGGAAGAAUCCAGCUGCCCCCUUUGAGAACGUCAUGCGUUGUGAGUGUGUGUGUGUGUGUGUGUGUGUGUGUGUCAGUCAGAGAGACAGAGAGCUAGGCGGUGUACAUUUCAUUGUACAGCGGUGAUAUUUUGAAGGGUCGCGGGCUGUUCCGACACCCCGAUGAGAGCGAAAACAGUAUGAACUCAGUUUCUGUGAGCGAGCCGGAGGAAGUCCACUUUUUACAAAAAUAACAAAAAGAAAUGGACGUUUUCUUCUCUCCGAGCAUUUACUAAAAAAAAAGAAGCACACUGUUGAAUACCAUGCACUGUAAGCAUUUUCAUGUUCAAUGGAACAAACUCGUCUGAGUGUUUUUUACGCAAUGUCAAGUGGCCAAAAAAAA